This 2284-nucleotide long non-coding RNA is filed under the name Lactuca sativa (garden lettuce). RNAcentral describes it as "long non-coding RNA (LSAT_LNC000355)". The record is from RNAcentral. Lineage: Eukaryota; Viridiplantae; Streptophyta; Magnoliopsida; Asterales; Asteraceae.
UUACACUCAUUUACACAUAGACACAUACACAUACACAUAUACACACAUAGUUACACACUGAUACAUGCGCAUACACAAAUAGAAAUACAUGCACAUACACAAAUGGAUAUAUAUACACCUAUGAGCUUAUGUUGUUUGUUAUUUGUUUUAUAACACCAUCCUACUUUCUUUCUUCCUGUUACAACAUUUGGUAUUGGAAAAUCUACCCAAUUGUGCAAUAUCAUCGAAAUACAAAACAAUUAUGACUGCUACAAUUAGAAAAAAAAAAGAUCAAAUUAUAAUGCUUUAAUAGGAAAAAGAUUGAAAUUGUUAUGUUAUAAUAGAAAGAAAUGAAAAUAGGAUGAUACUACAAUACACAAAUCAACAAAAGUACAUUCCUAUUGUUUGCAUAUUAUAGCAUUAUACUUCCAUUUAUUUGCAAUUUGCCCCUAUUUAUUUUUUACUUCCAUUUUCCAAUGUGGGACGUCAUUUUUUCAAAUACUUUUUAAACAUCACACACACACACCGAUACACACAUGACAUCCAAGAAAUAGCAACCUUCGUUCACUUAUUUUUGAUUCAGAAACCAAAAUUAAACCAAUCUACUAAAAAAUAAUUUUAUUAAUAAACAAAUUUAUUAGUUUUUUAUUUUUACAAAAUGUAUUAAAUAAAAUUUUAUUUAAAAAAACUAAUAUUAAUUAUAUUAUUUUUGAGUUGGAUCAGGUGCUACAUGUACACACACCACACAACCACACUAAUGGUUACCAAAGAAAUGAAAUUACAACAGUACAAUGCUACAAAUGGGACCGGUUUUGUUAAAAAAAAUGCAGGAACUAUAUUAACUGGUUGAGCCUAUAGUGGAACCCGACCGAUCCUCAUCAGAUUGGUCCUAUUUGAACCGAAAUCAGAUAUUGGAAUGUGUUCAUGUAACAACCAAAUGUUUUACAGCAAUAUAAAUAUGCAGCAAACCCUAAAUGCAACUGGAAAAUACGAAGAUAAUGGGAAGCAUGGACCUAAAAUACUAGAUAAAGUGAUAAACAUAUGCAUUCUAAGAAUUAAUCAAACAAAUGACAAGUUACACGCUUUUGUUGGGCCAGAAGAUUGGGCUGCAUCAUGUGGUUCAGACCCGUGGCACUUCAGACAUAUCCGAUGUGUCUGAUUUUGUUCAGCCAGGAACAUCCAUGUCUUGGCCGCAUCCGCAUGCUGGUGCUGUUUGAUUGGUUAUGUCAAAUCUUCUCCCCCAGAAUGGUCUCCAGCAGCAAUAAGAUCUGCAAUGAUACUUGAACAUGUUUAACUCUUGCUAAUUUCUUAGUAGUGUGUGACCCAUGAAACUUUUGUGUUGUGUAAGUUGUGCAAGGUCAUUCCCCAUGAAACCAAGUGUUUUGUAUUUUGUAACUGCUAACAAGACAUUUUUUCUAACAAUUUCUGUACUUAAAUCAAAUGAAUAUUUGUAAGAAACUAGUACUCAAAUAUCUAGAUUCACAUGUUGGACUCUAAUGAAAAAAGUUCAUGUUUUCAAGGUUAUACAAAGAAAAUCGAAUGACCAUAUGCAUAAGCAUAAUCGAAAAUAAUGAGCAAAAAGGAGGAUAAUAUGGAAAUCCAAACCAACCUCCCUCCGUAGAAUACAUGUAGGUGUAAAAGUUAAGAUAUAAUAAUAUGGUGAUAUGUUUAAGUGAAGACAUGUGUAAUAUUCUAUAAAUAUUGGUUUGAUCUAAGCAAAACAAAACAAUAAUAUAAAGUUGCAAAUAAGUUGGAAGACUUUACCUUUCCGAGACCACCAAUUCCAACACGCACGAUAAUCCCCAUGGGAUCUCAUCUUGUCCAACCACACAUCGUAAAACACCAAAUAUCAUCUUCCCAGAUUAUACAGAACAAAGAAACAUCAAAACAUUAUGUUGGUUGUUUUGUUGAUGAGUAAUUAGCCUUUUCUGGGUUAUAAACAGAAGAAACAAAGAGACACACGAGCCCAAGAUACAGGCGUUGAGGUAGGCGAUAAGCAAUGGAAGGAUUAAUAAGGUAUUAAAGAAAAAAGAGAAUGAUGAAGGAGAAACACGACAUCAGAAUUUAUUGAUAACAAAAUUCCAAAAGAAGAAAAACAUAAGGAGUAGUACAAAGCAAUGUAUCCAAUUAUGGUUGCUCACCCUGCAUACGCUAGAGGAGACCUUCAAAUCUUUUAGAUAAACACAACAAAACAGAGGGACCACGCUACAAGAAUGAAGAAUCAUGUGAUCCUACGUUCCAAAAUUUCCCAAAAUCUCUAAUUGAAAUAACUUUUUUGUGAUUUCCCAAAUCUUUUAAAUUCAUC